RNAcentral lists this unclassified non-coding RNA (21 nucleotides) under Mus musculus (house mouse). RNAcentral's name for it is "oocyte_clustered_small_RNA10693". Lineage: Eukaryota; Metazoa; Chordata; Mammalia; Rodentia; Muridae. The record is from RNAcentral.
UGGCAUCUUCGGUCGUGCCGG